UGGGCUGUGGCUCAGUGGUAGAGUGCUCACUUAGCAUGUGCUAGGCGCUGGGUUGGAUCUCCAGCACCACAU
This 72-nucleotide transfer RNA is filed under the name Marmota monax (woodchuck). RNAcentral describes it as "tRNA.Ala". Lineage: Eukaryota; Metazoa; Chordata; Mammalia; Rodentia; Sciuridae. The record is from RNAcentral.